AAUUUCACCAAAAAUCCCACCACCAGUCGUCCCCUCCCCCGCGCGAUCCAGCCGAGCCGAGCCACGCCACCACCGACGCGCCACCAGCGAACCCUAACCCCCGCCCGGAUCUGGAGCCGCCGCCGGCGCUCCCUCUCAUGGUCCCCGGCGGCGAGGGGGCCCCCGUCCGGCGGCGCUGCUGAGAUGCGACGAGACACGCCGCCGUCCACUGCCCCUUCAGCCUCCUCCUCGUCCUCCUCUCUCUUCGGCGGCGAGCAGCUGUUCGAGUCCGCGCCCAGCCCGCUCAUCUUCCUGCCCCUGCUCCUGAUCCAGGGCGGCGGUAUGGACCUCUCCGGCGUCGGCGAGAAGCUCCUCAGCUCAGUCCGCUCCGCCCGCUCCCUCGGCCUCCUCCCCCCGACCCCUGCCGCGCCCCCUCCCCGCCCCGAGGUUCCAGAACGAGCUGCGGCUGCGGCAGCAGCUGCGCGUGCGAUCGCGGGGUUGCCACCGCACGAGAGGAUCAGCCUGCCGGCGAAUUCAGAGGAUUUGGUCUCCAUCUACGGGAGCAACCCACAGGGGCAGCCCGUGGAGAAGCUCGAGGAGGUGUUUUAUGAGGAGGAGUUCGAUCCAAUAAAUUACAUUCUGCAAAGUAUUCCGGAUGAAGGCGGCGAUGCCACCUAUUUUGAUAAGCAGUCUACGUUGAGAUUAGCGCAGCUUGACAAGAUUGCAGAACGAUUGUCCCAUCAUGUUAUGGGUCACCAUGAAGAAAUGGUGAAGGGGAUGCAGUUAGUGAUGGAAUUAGAACAAGACUUAAAGGUUGCUAAUGUAAUCUGCAUGAAUGGACGAAGGCAUAUAACCUCUUCAAAGAAUGAGAUGUCAAGGGAUCUGGUUGUGAAUGUAAAAUCAAAGAAGAAACAAGAUUUGCUGGAUGUUCUUCCUAUUCUUACAGAGCUUCGUCAUGCACUAGACAUGCAGAUGGAACUUGAAACUUUAGUUGAGAAAGAGAAUUACUUUCAGGCAUUCCAAUUAUUGCCCGAAUAUUUGCAAGUCUUGGAGAAUUAUUCAGGCCUUUCUGCCGUACAAGAAAUGGGACGAUGGAUUGAGACAUGGUUAGCUCAGACAAUCCAAAAGUUGGACACCCAUUUACUAGGUGUAUGUCAGACCUUCAACGAAGAAAGCUAUCUAACUGUAAUUGAUGCAUAUGCACUGAUGGGUGACAUUGGUGGCAUGGCUGAAAAGAUGCAGAGUUUCUUUUUGCAGGAAGUACUCUCUCAGACACAUUUUGUCCUGAAAGAAAUGUUGGAAGAGGAUGUGGGAAAUAAUACGCAGAGAAAUAGGUUUACAUAUAGCGAUCUUUGUGUUCAAGUUCCUGAGUGCAAACUUCGCCCCUGUUUAUUAAGAACCCUUAAGAACUUAUUUUCAUUGAUGUGCUCAUAUUAUGCUAUUAUGAGCUUUGCCCCAGGAGAAAAGAAUAUUGAGUCCAAGGGCCCAGAUCUGGCAUACAAGAAUAACACACCUCAGAGUAGCAAUGAACCUUUAGUUGAUUCAGGAAGAGGUCAUUCAAGUGUAGCAGUCAUUCAGGAUGGUUCUGCACCUGAAAAGACUGACAGAAAAUCAUCACCUGAGGUCAGCAAUCCUGAUGCUAGUACAUCAGGAAUGGGUUCUCCGUUCUAUCAGCUGAGGACAGAUGCUACAAAGCUUGUUGCGCAUACAUUUGAAAGAGGGCGAAGAAAUCUUUGGCAACUGGCAACAAGUCGCUUAUCUGUCUUACUGUCUAGUUCGUCUGUUUGUUCAACUAGCACAUACCAAUUCCUGAAGAACUAUGAAGAUCUCACCAUUUUUAUUUUGGCUGGUGAAGCAUUUUGUGGGUUUGAAGCUAGCGAGUUCCGCCAGAAGUUGAAGACUGUCUGUUUGAACUACGUAGUGUCCUUUCACCGCCAAAAUAUAUAUGCACUUAAGAUGGUACUGGAAAAGGAAUCUUGGACAAUAAUGUCUGCUGAAGCUUCACAGAUAAUUAGUUUAGCAGGCCUAACUGGUGAUGGUGCUGCAUUGAUCUCUCCUACCGGUAGUAGUUCCAACUUGCCAAUAUAUUCUUACCGUGGGAAUUCUACUACGGACAAUUCAGGAAAGCAAAAGAAUGGAUUUUCUUCUUGGCUUAAGAUUGAAAACCCAUUUUCUUCUAAGCUAGAAAAUGGCACUGUGGAAUCCCCAAAGUCCAAUAUGUUUUUCAACUCAUCAGCUAGCAAUAAUCAUGGCAAUGGAAAUAAUUCAUCGUUUGAUGAAGAGAAUGAAGACCUUCUUGCAGAUUUCAUUGACGAAGAUAGUCAGUUGCCUAGUAGGAUACCAAAACCAAAAAUUGUAAAAGGCAAUUCUGCACAUUGGAAAGAUGGAGAUAUUUCAUCGCAGACAGGCUCAUCACUUUCUUUGUUAAGGAUGAUGGACAAAUAUGCCAGACUAAUGCAAAAGCUGGAAAGUGUCAAUGUUGAGCUUUUUAAGGGUAUCUCCCAACUGUUUAGCAUCUUCUAUCACUGCAUAUAUGAGACAUUUGGGCACCAAGACAGGAGUCAAAGUGGCAAGCCUUUACCAGAUUAUCAAUCAUUUCGGCUUAAAGCAGCUUUAUCAAAAAUAACACAAGACUCUGAUCAGUGGAUAAAAUCACAGAAUAUUUCAUAUUCACCUUCAUCACCUUUGUCAAUGAAUUCAACUUUUGCUCAAAUGGAUGUGAUGCCUACUGCACCUCCCAGCUCAAUGUUCACCUCCUAUGGAUUAAAGGAGAGAUGUGCAGCUGCUGAAACAAUAUCGUUGGUCGCUCGAGUUUUGAACAGAUCUAGAGCCCAUCUACACUCAGUGUUGUCAAAAAAUAACACUUCUGUUGUAGAAGAGUUCUACAGGACACUGGUGGAUUCUGUUCCAGAUUUGGCUGAGCACAUUCAUAGGACAAGUGCACGGAUGCUUUUGCAUAUUGAUGGGUACCCAGAUAAGAUUGCAAAUGCUAAAUGGGAGGUGAAGGAGCUUGGCAUAGAGCAUAAUGGAUAUGUUGACUUGUUAUUGGGUGAAUUCAAACACUACAAAACAAGAUUGGACCAUGGAGGAAUUUCUAAGGAGCUCCAACACCUCUUGCUGGAGUAUGGCAUAGAGAGCGUCACAGAAGUUUUAGUCGAAGGUCUCUCUAGAGUGAAACGGUGCACUGAUGAAGGGCGUGCUUUGAUGUCACUUGACCUCCAGGUACUAAUUAAUGGACUGCAACACAUUGUAUCAGCGAAUGUUAAGCCAAAGCUGCAAACUGUGGACACUUUCAUAAAGGCUUACUAUUUGCCAGAGACCGAGUAUGUUCACUGGGCACGGUCUCAUCCAGAAUACAGCAAAAGUCAGGUCGUCGGGUUGGUUAACCUGGUGGCCACCAUGAAAGGAUGGAAACGGAAAACGAGAUUGGAAACGGUGGAGAAGAUUGAGGCAGGGCCAUAGCUGAAGAUUUUUGCUGUUUUGUUUUUGUUUGCUUCAGCUGCACGUAGAGCUGUAUUUUCACUUCUUCUUCUUUUUUACUUUCUUACUGCCCCCUUCUUUUCUAAUUCAUUUUUGUCAAUUCUUUCUCCCUCUGGCCAUUUUGAUGCUAACCCCAUCAGGACCAGCACCCAUCCAUGGUGUAUAUCUAUGCGACGACCUUGUAUCAUAUCAGAUGUCUUAAAGUAUUGCACGAAUGCGUCGCAGAUGCAUUAGUUCUGGUAUUCAUUUCAGCCUUAAUUCUAAUCGAUGAUGCUGCAAUAAAUUCAUGUACUCCAAAUCUUAGGAUUGUGCAAAACUUUUUUCUAAUCGUUGAUGCUGUAAUAAAUUCAUGUA
Molecule: RNA transcript, 3813 nt
Organism: Phragmites australis (common reed)
Lineage: Eukaryota; Viridiplantae; Streptophyta; Magnoliopsida; Poales; Poaceae
Exons: 26
Source: RefSeq, a predicted model, not a curated record